UUCAUCUGCGUGGGGUGAAGUCUAGGACAGGAAGUCUAGCUCGAUAGAGCUCGGGAUAGGAAGUAUGGCAAGGUGCAAGUGUGGUUUUUGUUUGUGUGAUGAUGUGCUUAAAGAACAUAUGUAUCGUCUGCCUGGAUACAAGUAGAGUAAAUAUAACCACCCAGAAGUGUCUAAACUACACCUAAUAAGGAGUUGUUUUGAUCGAAUAGCAUGGGGGGGGGUGGUACAAACUCAAUGUCAGUAUAUAAUGAAGGAAGGAUUUGAGAUUCUUCACUUCUUCACAUAUCGUUUCACUGUCGUUAUGUGUUGAGUCCUUGUACAAGUAAAUAAAUCAUCUCUGAUGGACAGAUCCUACGUAUUAGUAUUAUUUUUCCACGACAAUUUGGCGACGAGGAUGGCAUUCCAAUAACCUGAGGGCAGGUCAACGGUCUGAUCAACUCACCAUAGAUAGGAGGUGACCCAAACCCCCAACUGAAGGGACGCGGGCGUUGGCUCUGAUCCUAAGGUGACGGAAUCCAGACGAACCAGUGGCUAUAAUACGGUAAAUACCAAUUAUUAUCUAAAGUGACGUAAACAGUUUGAGAGUGGGUCUCUCCUGAAAUUGAAGAGUGGGUCUCUUCCGAAAUUACAGUAAAGUGACGUAAACAGUUUGAGAGUGGGUCUCUCCUGAAAUUGAAGAGUGGGUCUCUUCUAAAAUUACUUACGGAAUUCUAUCCGCCUGUAGAUAAUGGAAAACACGGGAAGUAGCGCUCCCCGUCCGAAAUGGAACACGGAAAGUGGAUUGUCUGUCGGAGAUGAAACCGGUUUAAUAAGAACUUAUGGGAGAGGAUGGAUAGAAACCAUACCUCUGAUACAAAAAUAUGGGGAAAUAAGUUUCAGUGUAACUAAAAAUAAAGAGCUCAGAGACAAAAUAAUACAGAAAGAUCAUUCUAAGAAUAAAGGUAGAUUGUUAACAGUAAUGGAUAUGUUCAUUAGAGAAUCUGAGGAAAGAUUGAAUAAGCAGUAUUUUAAAAUAAUGCCUUAUAGUGACUCUUCUUCUUUUUCCUCCUGUGAUGUAUGUGACCUGAGUGGACCUGGCAAUGUGGGUCGCACUUCCAGUCUCCUGUACACCCAAACCCUCUCCGAAAACAAUCAAUUACCUCCGAAGCCGGCAUCACCCCCAUACGAUGAACAGCAAAAUGGAGCAGUCGGAGGAGCCCCGUGCUGCCAACUACACCGAUACCCCCUGCCGAUCUCUAUGUCAACGCUGUGGCUGCACGGGACUCCUACGUGCAAACAACAAGAUGGAGAGACCGUGAGUAAUUUCCUGGCAAGAUUAGAAAAAGACUUUGAGAGACAUUCUGGCAUAACUGCAAAAAUGCCCAAUAAUGAACCCCACCCAGCGUACAGUAUGCACUUACCAAUAUACUUCAUGAGAAAUCUAGAUAUUGAACUGUCUGAACCUAUCAAAGCUACCCUGGACGGGGGGAAAACGGCCACAUUGGAGGAAGUGGUGAGACAUGCGGAACACCACGAGAAGAGACUUAAACAAGAACGCCUCAAAAAGAACAGGGAGGCACAAGAUAUGAAUUUCACCAUGAUGCAAUGCACCCUUAACGAUCGACAACAACAGGAUCGUAACUCCGGUUUUCCAACACUUAACCCGCAGGGGAGAGGCGGCCACAGAGGAAGGGGCAGGGGUAAAGGCAGAGGACGGGGACGAGGGAACGGCCGGUGGAAUCAACGCGGAUGUUUCAACUGUGAUUCAAUGGAUCAUUGGAAAGAUCAAUGCCCCGAACUAAAAGUUCAAAAACCUCAUGCAGACUGAAAUGUGCUAAAUAGCGGGGAGGGGGCCGGUGGAGAGGAGACUGAAGUAGGUUCUUUUAUGCUCUGUCGCAAUGAAGAAUGCUUGGCCGGGGCAAAAAGAUUCUUUUUAUUGUAGAUUCAGGGGCCCCCACUUCAAUAUUGCUGAUUAUAUGCCCAAAUCUGUACAGAUGAUAAAAAAAAAAAAAAAAAAAAAAAAAAAAUGAUGAAAAAUGUUCCCUCAGUGCCACAGGGCAUGUUGUUAAAGAAACUUUUUCUCAACCUUUACAAUGUAUAUAUGAACAUAAUCAAACUUCUUUUUUUACCUCUUUUCUAAUUAGCAGAACUUGCCCAUAUAACUUGCUCGGUAGAGACAUCAUGUGUAAACUGCACAUGACGGUAUGGUGUGAUGAAGUGACUGGGUUGAAUGUGACUCUGUGUAAGGAAGUGUGCCUCAGUGUGUUUGUGGGGGAGAGGCCUGAGAGUGAUGCUGGUUUGAAAACACACUAAUGUACACGCCCAUCCUCAGAUUUUAAGUCACCAGAAGAUUUGCACUGCACAGCUCAUGUCACCUGGGAAAUCGAAGCAGAUUACCAAGCGGCGUGGGCACAGCAGUCUGGUGAUCAGUUGACCACAAAUUGGUUGUACUGGAAUGGGGCCUGGGCUGCAUUGAGUGUGAUGCUUCCUAAAUGUGCUUCUAUGUUGUAUGAUGUUGCAAAUGCUGGUCCUUACAUAUCACUGGCCAAAGCUACUGAUAUGAAAGGGAGUAUGUGGGCCCUAUAGUAAGUGCAUGCACAAAUGCCGCAAAUUGGCAUAUGUAAAAUGAUGACAUGUCUUAUUUUCCAUCCUUAGGUGUGCGGAGAACCGCAUACCAGAGCUAUUCUCUGCGAAAGCGCAGGGAAUAGCAGCGCAGCGACAGUUGGCAGCACACAUGGGGUGGAUCGGUACACGAUGCCACUCCAUCAGUGGGCCACAGAUAAGUAUAAUGUGGGUCUCAUUAAAUCAUGUGCGUCCGUAAAGAUCACACCAAAGAGUGAUUUUCGCCAGUGAAAACCAUAAGAUCCUCUCAAAAAAGAAGCAGAGGACUGUAUCAAACCUGUUUUUGAUUCGUUGUUCGCAAAAGGAAUUAUUAUUCCAUGCUCGUAGUAACCGGAAAAUACACCAAUAUUUCCGGUAAAGAAAAUUAGAGGAAAAGUUGAGCCCACUGAGUGGAGAUUUGUACAAGAUCUACAGGCAGUAAAUGCGGCUGUAGAAGCAAGGGCUCCGAACGUGCCCAACCUUUAUACCAUCCUGUUACAAAUAUCACAGAGCACCGCAUUUUACGUGACCGUGGACAUUUCCAAUGUGUUUUAUUCAGUGCCAGUGCAUCUGGACAGCCAGUUUUGGGUUGCGUUUAUGUUCGCCAGCCGCAGAUUCAUGUUCACUAACCUUUGCCGGGGCUAUCGUGAGUACUAUAAUAUACCACUAAGCCCUGGCAAAAAGCCUGUCCACCCUAAACCUCCCAGAUGGGUUGACUUUGCUACAAUAUGUUGGUAAAGGUAAAGCUCAGAACACAAUCUGUAAAAUCAAAAAGUAUACCUUACUAUGAAAAUGCUGUUUACUUAUUUUUAAUUAAAAUGUUGAGUUUGCUUAAAAUAGCUACUUGUUGUUUAUAGGUUAAAACGUGAAGUUCACACAACUGAACCAAUUUAAGUAAAAUGACACAAAAUAGCCAAAAUGUUCUAUUGAGCAUGCGCAUUCGAGGGUAAUUCCCUUCCUCCACACCUGUUUCUAAUUUUUUUAUUUCUAUGAGUAUUUUCCUGGAGGGCGUGGAACUGUAUGUAGAUCAUCCUUUCAAUUCCAUGUUAAAAAAGUGGUUUGGUAAAUGGAGUGUGUAGAUUUCAUCUGUGUUGUUAUCAAUAGGUGUAAUGAUUGCUAUUUUGAAUUGGUGUGGAUGUUGUUGCAUACCAUUUAUUAAGAGGUCUCAUCGAGAAAAUAAUUGAUAAAGGUAUGACUAAAAUGAUGUACCAACGGGUCGAACAGGAGGAAAUUGAGAAUAAAAUCGAGGAGCAAAAUGAGGAUGAUAGUUGUGGGAGGGCUCUGCAAAUGAGGAGGUGCUAGUGGAACCUCGCCCCUCACACGACCCUCUACGGCUAAAGGGGGCUGCCUGGGUUGAAGAGGAUCUGCAUGCUUACACAAUUUUACACAUACACAUAUAGGAAUGUAAUUAACUAUGUUUAGCUCACUAGUGAUUUGCAUAACAUACUCACAGUGAGAUUGCUCAAAUGCUGAUUCAUGAUAUAGAAAUGUUUACACUGGCCAGCCUGUAAGCUUUGGUGUGUUGAUGUUUCAUUGUAUCUUUACUGUUGUUUUUAGAAAUCUAUGUUUUUUAUGUGUGGUUUGUCACUGGUGUUAUUGCAUUAAUAAUGUGUUGAAAACCUAAGGCAAGCUCACAAGGGAUGAGUAAAUUGCUACUUUAAAAAUGUUGUUUUAAAGUGCAUUAACAAUCUAAUAACAACCAAGGUGAUCGCUUUUUAUGGUAAUUAUGACUGUAAAUUAGAGGAAGAGGAUCAAAUGGGGAAGGAUGAUUUUGAACUGGCUGAGUUCCUUAAAGUAUUACAAUCAAUGUUUAAACAAAGGGCUUCUGAGAGCAGCGUAAAAGCCUGCAGGGAAGUCUGGAUAAAAAUGUCAUUUGGACAUUGGGGUGGAAUUGUAAUGGAAAUUUAUUCUUUAUGCAUUUAUAUUAUUUUUGUAUUCUUCAUUGUAUGAUUUAUGUCAGUCAUGACAUUUUCAUCUGCGUGGGGUGAAGUCUAGGACAGGAAGUCUAGCUCGAUAGAGCUCGGGAUAGGAAGUAUGGCAAGGUGCAAGUGUGGUUUUUGUUUGUGUGAUGAUGUGCUUAAAGAACAUAUGUAUCGUCUGCCUGGAUACAAGUAGAGUAAAUAUAACCACCCAGAAGUGUCUAAACUACACCUAAUAAGGAGUUGUUUUGAUCGAAUAGCAUGGGGGGGGGGUGGUACAAACUCAAUGUCAGUAUAUAAUGAAGGAAGGAUUUGAGAUUCUUCACUUCUUCACAUAUCGUUUCACUGUCGUUAUGUGUUGAGUCCUUGUACAAGUAAAUAAAUCAUCUCUGAUGGACAGA
Molecule: long non-coding RNA, 4900 nt
Organism: Paramisgurnus dabryanus
Lineage: Eukaryota; Metazoa; Chordata; Actinopteri; Cypriniformes; Cobitidae
Source: RefSeq, a predicted model, not a curated record